CCGGCGCACGGGUGAGUAACACGUAUGCAACCUGGCCGUCACAGGUGGAUAACCGGAAGAAAUUCCGACUAAUACAGCAUAACACUCCUGAGGGACAUCCUUCGGGAGUCAAAGGAGGCAACUCCGGUGACGGAUGGGCAUGCGGCGCAUUAGGUAGUUGGUGGGGCAACGGCCCACCAAGCCGACGAUGCGUAGGGGUUCUGAGAGGAAGGUCCCCCGCAUUGGAACUGAGACACGGUCCAAACUCCUACGGAAGGCAGCAG
Molecule: ribosomal RNA, 263 nt
Filed under: uncultured bacterium
Lineage: Bacteria
Description: partial 16S ribosomal RNA
Rfam family: Bacterial small subunit ribosomal RNA
Source: RNAcentral